AAUGAAGCCGGGAAACCGGUCCUUCUAACCCUUGAUUAUCUCAAUUUGCUGCUUUGGUGGGCCGCGCAAGCACCGGCUUCGGCUGGAUCGUGCCCGCCAGAGGACCACAACUCUGUAUUAAAUGUCGUCUGAGUACUAUAAAAUAGUUAAAACUUCCAACAUCGGAUCUCUUGGUUCU
RNAcentral lists this unclassified non-coding RNA (178 nucleotides) under rhizosphere metagenome. RNAcentral's name for it is "partial ribosomal RNA internal transcribed spacer region". The record is from RNAcentral.